UGUCUUUUCUUCAGGCCGGCUGACGUCUGAUGCAAACAUUAUAGUUUAUGAUUUAUGAUGUGAUGGAACAAAUGUGAUUUCCUGAUAUCUGCAGAGAGAGCAGAGCUCCAGAUCUCCUCAUGUAUGUUUCAGCUUCCAGCUCUGACAGCAGCGGAGCGUCUCUGCACGCCGCUCAACCAGACGGGAGGAAGGUGGAGCCGGAGAGAACGGCCGGAAAUGAAAGAUGGCUCUCUGGGGAUGAAGAGGAGCAGAGAAAAGAGCGAUGAAGAUUCGGCAGAGAAACACGGAGUGUCAGCUAUCUCAGAACAGAUCAGACUUUGUUUUUCUCCUGGUGGGUAAAACUUAGCAGCUCAUCAUGAAUCAGGAAGCAAACAGGAUCAAUGUUUCCUUAAGGGAAGAACUGAUUUCCCACCAGUCCCACGCUGGUCUGACGGUAACUUAAUUUUAGUGAUAAAAACUUUAAAUAAAUUCAGACAGCAGACAGAGUGGGAAUCGAACCAGAGACCCACAGGAUGAAGUCCUACUCCGCCACCUUCGCUGCUUCUGGACUCACAACUCAAACCAAACAUUCUUCCUCAUCAUACCUCCACUACCAUGCUUCAGCUGGACCAGCUGUCCCUCCUGACACAGUGCAUCAGGUCCAACAUGGCUCCUCUAGUCUCUCCUGUCCAGAUGACAUCACUCAGGUGAAAAUUUCUUUGAACCGUUAGAACCUGCAGUUUGUGUUUUCAAGGUGUUUUCAGGAUGUUUGCAUGGUGUUUUUAGGG
Poecilia latipinna (sailfin molly) is the source of this 767-nucleotide long non-coding RNA. RefSeq lists it as uncharacterized. The record is from RefSeq and is a predicted model, not a curated record. The transcript is spliced from 4 exons. Lineage: Eukaryota; Metazoa; Chordata; Actinopteri; Cyprinodontiformes; Poeciliidae.